Non-coding RNA from Manis javanica (Malayan pangolin), 5580 nucleotides. NCBI's taxonomy places the organism in Eukaryota, Metazoa, Chordata, Mammalia, Pholidota, Manidae. The record is from RefSeq and is a predicted model, not a curated record.
AGCCCUAAACAGGCCCUGGCAUUUGUCAGCAUCAUUCCUUGGCUGGAGGCGACCUGCUGCUCCACCCUCCACCUUGGCACCAGCAGACCUGCCUGGCUGGUUUGCCAGGGACUCUGCCUGUUUUGCCAUCUUAGGGCACUGUUUGCCUCUGAUUUAUUGGGGCUUAGGAAGUACCUGUACAGGUUGGGGACGAGGACCACGUGGAAAAGAAUGCAGGACAGGGAGUCACUUUGACCAGUGACUGCUUUGCGGACCACAGGGGCUGGAAGACCCCGGGUCAGCCCCACCACUCUACCACCACAGUGCGGCCGCCCACCUGAUGCUUGUCUCUCUGAGUCAGCCUCUCCCACCCAGCAGUACCCUGACCCCAGGCUCACCCAGACAGGUACUCCUGCGGUGUGACUCAUGUCAGUCCCUCCUGCUAUCCAGCCCAUCUCUGGAGUCCCACGCUUCCUGCUAAGGUGUUUGAAGGAGGGGUGAGUCAGGGACUGACGGGAUCUUGCCGAGGAAAUCAAAAUGCUGAUGGUUUUGUGUUUCCUUUUGAAGCUGUGACCAGAUGGAUAAAGUUCUGCAGGCUGUGCCAUGUAAGGGAUGCAGGAGACUGGGCUGUCCCUCUCCAGAUCUCAGUUUCCCCAUCUAUAAAGUAGGGAAAAUAAAACCUGCUGUGGUUACUUCACAGGUGAUCAUAGAAAGGCUGGGUUUUGUUUUUGCUUUUCAAGUCAUGUUUAUUGAUGUAUACUUGACAUUGAGUGAAAAGUCAUGUUUAUUGAUGUAUACUUGACAUUGAGUGAAAAACUCACCCGGCAAUUUAAUAAAUGCAAUUGCCACCAUAACCAAGGUGCAGAACAGUUCCUCCCUCAUGCCUUUUUGCAGCCAACCUCUCCCCGAUCCCUAGGAAUCCGUUGAUCUGUUUUCUGUCAGAAGGGUCAAGUUUAAUCAUUAAAAUGACCUAUUAUGGAAAAAUGUGUAAGCAUAUAAAACCAAGUUUUCUUUAAAGGAUAUUUUGGAACAGAUAAUCAUUAGGACAGUCAAAAGAAUGGGUUUAAAAAUAAUCUUUGUAAAUUAAAGUGCAGUUGACAAAGUAGUUUUAGGAUAGUUGUAGAGUAGCUAGUCUAGAUACUAUAUAGUUAAUAGUUACUAGCUAGUUAAUAGUCUAGUUAAUAGCUAGUCUAAUUGUCAAGCUUCAGGCUGGGGCUGGUUGAUGGAAAAACUACGUUAAAUAAUGCAAUUGAAUCCACAGAAAUUCUCUAUGGGGCAGACUUAUGUUCUUAAGAGAUAUUUGUCACCUUCUUAAAAUUCACCCCUGCUACCACCAUGAAAGGGACAAAGAAAAUAAAAACCUCCAUUCUGUAUGAAUCAACCAUCACAUGUUCAAAUAUAGCUUAUCUACAUGAAAACUUCUUUAUAGCACAUUUCUGUCUACCAAGCACCAGCCCUUAGGUUCAGGCAGCAUAUUGAACUGGACUGGGCCGAGCGGCAUGGGAGCCUAAAGGGAAAGGCUGAUUCGGUGACUGUAAAGAUGUAGGCAAAUGUCCACUGGUUGUUACGAUGCUACACUGUGUGUUCUAAGCAUAUUCCUGGCCCCCAGGAAGGCAAGGUCCUUAGAGCUUAAAGUGGGACCUUAAUGAGCUAACGCUCUGUGCACUAGGGCCUGGGGAGGGGUGGGGAGAGGAGAGCUGGGAAGACACGGAAGACAGGGAAAGGAAGAAGGGCUGGGCAUGCAGGAGAGAAAACUCUUACCUCCAAAGCUGCAAUUAUCUGGGCACUGACAUACAUUCAUUCAUUCAUUCAAUGAGUAUUUUUCCAAGCACUGAUCUAACUUCUGGAGAUACAAUAGUGAGGAAUCAGGCAAACAUCCCUGCCCUGUGGAGCUCACAUGCUCAAGUAGGGGAGACAGACAAUAAAGCAAAUAACUUGGGUGAUAUGUGCUAGGGAGCAAAAUAAAUCAUGGAAAAGGGAUGAGAUGUGAAGCCUAUAAAAUUUUUCCCCCAAUUCCACUCCAGCCCAAUACAUUUGAAUGAAUUCAAAUUUAUGUCCUGGCCCAGGAAAAGGCCCAUUCUGGGGAAGUUGUAAACGAGGCAGGAAAGGGUCAGGGGAGUGGAAGCCACAGGAAGCGAGGGAGGGAAGGAGCCCUGACACCUGGGUGGGGACCGGCAGGGAUGUUUGGAGGGUCGGUGCAGAAGCCAGCGUGGCCUGAGCAGGGUGAUCCGGGAACAGAGCAUAGAGAGGAAAUGGGGUGGGGACAACUGUGAGUGCCUUUUACAGCUCUCUAAGGGCUUCCGGCUUCCAUUCUAGGUGAGACGGGAAGGGCUUUCAGCGGAAAAGUAACAAGAUUGACUUGCAUUUUUACAAAAUCCCUGUCCACUGGGUGGGGUGGGGGUGGGGCUCAAGGGCGAAUGCAGGUGAAUGGUGAGGUGUCAGAUUCUGGAACAACUGUAUUUUGAAGGUAGAGGCGGCAGGCUGUGCUGAUGCAAUAAAUAUAGGCUGUAAGGAAAAGGGGGGCUGCUAGGAUUGGGCCUGAGGAACUCGAAGGGUGGAGUUGUGAUUUAGUGGAACGAGGCCGGGUCUGUGGAUUUAGUCUGUGGAAGAGCCGGGUGAUUCAGGCCAGAUAAGGAGUUAGGUCUGGGUUCUGUUAGGUUUGAGCAUAGCAGUAGCCGUGCUAAGUGACAGAUAUUUGGGAAUGGCGUUCAUGAGAAAGGUCAGGAGGCAGAGACAAAUGCAGACCCGACAGUGAAGCAACCCCGGUACCGACGUCACCAAGGAAUGGGUGAAGCCAGGAGAGGAGCCAGACCUGGCUGUGGACACCAGCAGGGACAGCUGGGGCAGGAGGGGCGCCCGGCACCAGCGAGCGACUCGGAGACCCAGCGGUAGGAGGCAGCAGUGACCGACUGAGUCAGAUGCCGCGAGAGUAGCCACGGAUUUAACGAGGAGGCCUUUGUUGACCUUGGCCAGAGCAGUUUCUGGAGAGCAAUGGGAAGUCCCAUUAGCGUGGUUCCAGGGAGCAUGGGAACCGAAGUACUGGGGACGGCGGCUAGAGAUCAUCUUUCCAGGAGUUUUGCUCUUAAAGAAGCAGAGAAAUGUAGUAACUGGAGAGAGACGUGAGAUAAAGAGUUUAUGUUUGUUUUUCUGUUUGGGGCUUUGUAGGUAUACAUGAGCUAACCAUAACAUUUACCAUUUUAACCACUUUUAAGUGUAAACUUCUGUGGCGUUAAGCACUCUCGCACUGUCGUGCAGCCAUCACCGCCAUCCAUCUCUAGAGCAUUUUUGCUUUUGCUAAGCUGAAACUUCACAUCCACUGACUCCUCUUCUGGCCCCUGGAGCCCACCGUUCCACUUUCUGUCUCUAUGAAUCUGACUGCUCUAGGGAACCUCAUAUAAAUGGUAUCACCUAGUAUUUGUCAUCCCGUGACUGGCUUAUUUCACUUACCAUAACGUCCUCAAGGUUCAUUCACAUUGUAGGAGGCAUCAGAAUUCCCUUCCUUCUUAAUGCCUGGACGCUCCUUGGUAUGAAGCCACCACAUUUUGCUUAUCCGUUCAUCAUGCAUUGAUGGACACUUGGAUUGUUUCCACGUUUGGCUACUGCAAAUAAUGCUGCUGUGAACAUGGGUGGACAAAUAUCUGUCCAAUGCUUUUGCUUUCAGCUCUUUGGGGAAUAUAUCCAGAAGUGGAAUUGCUGGAUCAUACUGCCAUUCUGUGUUUAAUUUUUUCAGGACCUGCCAUGCCAUUUCCUGUUUGUUUUUAAGAUAGGAGCUGUAACAGCAUGCUUGUGUGUUGAUAAAAAUGAUCCAGUCAAAAGGAGGAAAUUGACCAAGCAAGUGGGAGGAGAGAAUUGCCCUGGUGCCAAUCCUGGGCCAGGAGAGAAGGUGGGAUCUUGUGCACAGUACAGGCAUACCUCGUUUUAUUGUGCUGCGCCAAUACUGCGUUUUGUACGAAUUGAAGGUCUGUGGCAGCCCUGCGUUGAGCAAGUCCAUCAACACCAUUUUUCUGAUAGCGUUGGCUCCCUUUGUGUCUCUGGGUCACAUUUUGGUAAUUUUCACAGUAUUUCCAACUUUUUCAUCAUUCUUAUAUUUGUCAUGUGAUCUAUAAUCAGUGAUCUUUAAUGUUACUAGUGUGAUUGUUUGGGGGCCCAUACAAGACAGCAAAGUCUGUCAGUGAGUGUGCGUAUUCUGCUUCUCCCCCGACUGGCUGUCCCACCCCACCCCACCCCCAUCUCUCUCUCUCUCUGGAGCCUCCCUGGUCCCUGAGAUGCAGCAAUACUGAAAUUAGACCAAUUAAUAAUCCUCCAAUGGCUGUUAUUGUUCAAGUGAAAAGAGGAGUCCCCUCUUUCUCACUUUAAAUCAAAAGCUAGAAAGAGGAAGCUGAGGGAAGAAUGCAUGCCGAAAGCUGAGACGGGCCACAGGCCAGGACUUACGUGGCAGCAAGGAGCCGAGCUGUGGCCGCAAAGGACAAGUUCUUGAAGGACAUUAAAAGUGCUACUUCAGUGCACACGUGACUAAGAAAAUGAAACAGACUUCUUGCUGACAGGGAGGGAGUUUCAGUGGUCUGACUGGAAGAGCAAACCAGCCACAACAUUUCGGUGAAGCCAGAACCUAAUCCAGAGCAAGGCCCUAACUCUUCAAUUCCAUGAAGGCUGAGAGGGAACCUGCCCAGCCAUUCCAGACUUUAGCAACUGCCACCCUGAUCAGUCAGCAGCCAUCAGCACUGAGACAAGACCUUCCACCAGCGAGAGGAUUCUGACUCACUGAGUUUUCAUUUUAACAUUUUUUAGCAAAUAUUUUUUAAUGAAGGCGGGGGGACUGUCUCAUAGAGGUCAAAUCACCCACUGGAGUCGGGGUUCACACCCAGGCCCUUCUGCCUCCAGAGCCCAGCCCAGAUGCACAGGCUGUACCCCUCCUCCUGGUGAUCCAGACAGGCAACCGGCAUCAAGGCCUGUGGUCAAGCUGCUGGUGUUCCUGAGCACGUUUCUGCAUAGAAUUUUGCCUGGAGCAGCCUGGAAACCACAGAUAGGGACAUUCCAUCCUUAAGGCAGUUUUGAUGAACAUAGUCUCCUCCAGCCAGCAAGUCUGCCCUCAAGCCAUUGAUUAGCUGUUGGUUCCGCACAGGGUCCCCUUCUGUCUCCCCUUUAAAAUGCUCUCAUUCUGAACCGCACUUUGAAGAUGACCUUGGAGGAUGCUGGUCCACCUUCCCCCCCAGGUUGCCUGCUUCCUCAACAAAGCAAAUUUCCUCCCCACACCAACACGUGUCUCUCGAGUUUUGACUUUAAAGCAGCUGAACUUGGGUUCCAAACCAGCUUGGUGAGACUUUCUUUGGCUUUAAAAACAGAGUCUAUUUCUUGGAAUAAUAAACUCAAUUGUUUAACUUCAAUUUUAAAGCUCAACUUCUCAAUUUCAUGUUGCUUACCCAUUUGGUACAGUUAAACAAUCACUCUUACAUUCUAGACUUUUUAGGGUAAAACUCACUUACUGAGGAAAACAUUUUACCAAUACUAAUUAUGGCAAUCAGACAACACAAAGAGAUAAAAGGCAUCCAAAUUUGUGAGGAAGAAGUGAAACUAUCCCUAUUUGCAGAUGACAUGAUAUUA